Molecule: long non-coding RNA, 1383 nt
Filed under: Gopherus agassizii (Agassiz's desert tortoise)
Lineage: Eukaryota; Metazoa; Chordata; Testudines; Testudinidae
Description: lncRNA (ENSGAGG00000019313.1)
Source: RNAcentral
CUCAACUAGCCGGGGCUAAGCCACAGUACCCUGUGGCAGAGAUGGUGAACAAAGGUCUCCGAGUGGUACCUGUAGCACUGUAUUCACAACCUUUCCGAAAACUAUUGUAGCUUCUGACCUCCUCAGCCGCACUGCUGGAAGCCUUCUUCAGGAUCUUCCACUAAGGUACCGAGGAUAGGCUACACGCUGGGUUAUUUCUGGAGCGGGAUAUUCUAGGGCUUCCAUGUCAAUCUAAAUAAUAUUAGUGACAUUAGUUUUCUGCUUCUUAGCUUUUCUAGCCUGCACCCAUUUAACUCCAUCCACGUAUGGGAGCCUUCAGAUGGCUGAUGUAAAGGAACUGGGUAGGGGUGCAGGCGUUUGACAGAGUCCAGUGCAACAACAGUAAUGGGAAACUAUAAACAAUCAAGUGAGAGUGGGAAAGAGACAGCGGAAACAAAACAAAACAACAAAGUCAGUCGCUAUGCAAAGAAAUGGUUAAAAGGCACUUACCCAACCGAAAUUCAAUACUCUGGUUGAACUGAUGUUCAUGUCUUUAACAGAUAAGGGCAUAUACUCAGCUGCCUAAGUCCAGAUCAAUCUGUUCAUGUGAGUGAAGUGAAGUUAGAUCUGCCAUGAGACGGCAGUAAAUCAUUGUAAUAUCGCAGCUCAGGAGCUAGCUAGCCAGGGAACUACGAGUCGCAUAGCUCCUUCCUAAGUUCCUCCCGUCUGAACGCAUUGGAACAGAGAGCAAGGAGAUAGAUGCCUUGUUUCCCUCAAGCUAAAGGAAUUAACUAUUGCAUCGGUAACAGACAAUCGCUAUUUUUCUUCCUUCCCUGCGCGAUGACGGUUGUUUCCUAGACCUUUGGAAGCUCAAAGCCCGAGAUAAUGGGAAUGAUUCAAAACAGACCGUACCGGUAAAUUUGAAAUUCGCAGCGAUCUGGGAUGAGAGUCAGAGAUCAGGGUGAUUUUCAAAGCCAAACUGAUCCACUCUCGUUCCAAAGGGAGUGUGGCUGGACACGUUACACCCACUGUAUUAUUAAGGGUAUAAACCGUGUCUGGAAGACGAUCCCGCCAGGCACAGAAGCUAACACGUCGGAAGCAUUGCUAUAUGAAAGAACAAUGAGUUUGUCUGUCAAUGAACCCCUCAAAUUGCAGACGUUUCUUUGGGCGUCUAGAUAUAGAUGGCAUUCCCUGAUCUUGGCAAACACCAUAGGUUCCUACGAACGGCGGCAGUUUCAGGCUAAUGCCUCAGGAAACGGAGGAAUCACCAAACUGGAUCAAAUUCAUGGACCAGUGAGUGCAGAAUUUUGUCUCUGUCAGUGGUCAGCACCCAGAUGCUUCAGAGGAAGAUGCAAGUAACCUUACAUUAGGCAGAAGGGAGGUAAUCUGCCCUCUAUAUUAAAU